UACGGAAGGUCCAAGCGUUAGAUCGGAAUUACUGGGCGUAAAGCGCGCGUAGGUGGAUUAUAAGUUGGAUGUGAAAGCCCCGGACUCAACCUGGGAACUGCCUCCAAAACUGAUUCACUAGAGUACGAGAGAGGGAAGUGGAAUUCCCAGUGUAGAGGUGAAAUGCGUAGAUAUUGGGAAGAAUACCAGUGGCGAAGGCGGCCUCCUGGUUCUGUACUGACACUGAGGUGCGAAAGCGUGGGUAGCGAACAGGAUUAGAUACCCUGGUAGUCCACGCCGUAAACGAUGACUGCCAGCUGUUGGAAAGCAUUGUUUUUCAGGGGCGCACUUAAGGACUUAAGUUGCCCGCCGGGGAAGAACGGCCGCAGAGUAAAAAUUCAAAUGAUUUGACGGGGACCCGCACAAGGGGGGAAGCAGGGGUUUUAAUUCAAUGCACCGGGAAAAACCUUACCUACUCUUGACUUCCGUGGAAUCUCUUGAAAUGAAAGAGUGCCUUUUGGAACCAAGUGACAGGUGCUGCAUGGCUGUCGUCAGCUCGUGUCGUGAGAUGUUCCGUUAAGUCGGAUAACGAGCGCAACCCUUUCCCUCAUCGACCACCGGUUCCACCGGGAACUAUAAGCGGAUCGCCGGGGCUAAAUCGGAGGAAGGUGAGGGAGACGUCAAGUCAUCAUGGGCCUUACGACUAGGCCUCCACACGCGCUCCAAUGGGAAGUCCAGAGGGACGCCAAAGCGCGAGCAGGAGCUAAUCUCAUAAAACUCAUCGUAGUUCGGAUUGCAGUCUGCAACUCGACUGCAUGAAGUCGGAAUCGCUAGUAAUCGCGGAUCAGCACGCCGCGGUGAAUACGUUCUCGGGUCU
RNAcentral lists this ribosomal RNA (856 nucleotides) under uncultured bacterium. RNAcentral describes it as "SSU rRNA". It matches the Rfam family "Bacterial small subunit ribosomal RNA", at positions 524 to 1381 of the family's 1533-position model. The record is from RNAcentral.